Molecule: ribosomal RNA, 450 nt
Filed under: uncultured bacterium
Lineage: Bacteria
Description: partial 16S ribosomal RNA
Rfam family: Bacterial small subunit ribosomal RNA
Source: RNAcentral
GUGGGGAAUAUUGGACAAUGGGCGAAAGCCUGAUCCAGCCAUGCCGCGUGUGUGAAGAAGGUCUUCGGAUUGUAGAGCACUUUAAGUUGGGAGGAAGGGCAGUAAGUUAAUACCUUGCUGUUUUGACGUUACCGACAGAAUAAGCACCGGCUAACUUCGUGCCAGCAGCCGCGGUAAUACGAAGGGUGCAAGCGUUAAUCGGAAUUACUGGGCGUAAAGCGCGCGUAGGUGGUUUUGUAAGUUGGAGGUGAAAUCCCCGGGCUCAACCUGGGAACUGCCUCCAAAACUGCAUGACUAGAGUACGGUAGAGGGUAGUGGAAUUUCCUGUGUAGCGGUGAAAUGCGUAGAUAUAGGAAGGAACACCAGUGGCGAAGGCGACUACCUGGACUGAUACUGACACUGAGGUGCGAAAGCGUGGGGAGCAAACAGGAUUAGAUACCCCAGUAGUCC